This 482-nucleotide ribosomal RNA is filed under the name uncultured bacterium. RNAcentral's name for it is "partial 16S ribosomal RNA". It matches the Rfam family "Bacterial small subunit ribosomal RNA", at positions 30 to 507 of the family's 1533-position model. The record is from RNAcentral.
AUUGAACGCUGGCGGCAUGCCUUACACAUGCAAGUCGAACGGUAACAGGUCUUCGGAUGCUGACGAGUGGCGAACGGGUGAGUAAUACAUCGGAACGUGCCCGAUCGUGGGGGAUAACGAAGCGAAAGCUUUGCUAAUACCGCAUAAGAUCUACGGAUGAAAGCAGGGGACCGCAAGGCCUUGCGCGAACGGAGCGGCCGAUGGCAGAUUAGGUAGUUGGUGGGAUAAAAGCUUACCAAGCCGACGAUCUGUAGCUGGUCUGAGAGUACGACCAGCCACACUGGGACUGAGACACGGCCCAGACUCCUACGGGAGGCAGCAGUGGGGAAUUUUGGACAAUGGGCGAAAGCCUGAUCCAGCCAUGCCGCGUGCAGGAUGAAGGCCUUCGGGUUGUAAACUGCUUUUGUACGGAACGAAAAGACUCUGGUUAAUACCUGGGGUCCAUGACGGUACCGUAAGAAUAAGCACCGGCUAACUACGUG